Non-coding RNA from Vicia faba (fava bean), 618 nucleotides. NCBI's taxonomy places the organism in Eukaryota, Viridiplantae, Streptophyta, Magnoliopsida, Fabales, Fabaceae. The record is from the annotation of a GenBank genome assembly.
UCAAGUACGACUUCGCGUUCGUCUUCUUCCAGAGAACAUAGCGGCGUUCUUCUUCGCCGAUCCCGCUCCGUCAGUCCGAUUCAGCCUCGCCAUCUUCCUCUGAUUCCGCUCAAAGCUCUGCCGAUUCGCUUCAGCUUUCUUCGAUCCGACGCUUAAUCCUAACAUCUGGCCGCCACAAACCAAUACCAGUCGCGGCUUCCUUUCCUCUUCGUCUUGUUUUGUCGCAUCCUUGUGCCGUGAACAAAACCUCAAUCUUCUUUCUAAAAAUAACGGCAGCCGUAUCUUUCUCUUCUCCGUCAGCUUCGUACUUUGCUCAUCAGGUACGACUUUGUUGUGCGUUAGAGUCGUGUUUUGUGAUGAUGUUGCUUGUUCUGUGUUGAUUAUUAUGAUGGAUGCAGAUUCGUUGAUGAAGAUAUUGUGCUGAAUCGAUGUGGUUUGUUGAAGGAGCUGAGAGCAGAGAAUAUUUGAAGUUGAUGAUGAAGAAGGACGGUUAUGGUUCAGUUGCAGAGAAGCUGAAAUCGACUGAAGUUGCGGAUUGAUGUAUUGAAAAAUUAUUGAUGAAGAUGAAUGAAGGUUUGAGAGAGUUGCACCUUCCUGUUUUAGCUCCAUUUUGCUCAU